CAGUCGCCACGGUAAUACGUAGGGGGCAAGCGUUAUUCGGAAUUAUUGGGCGUAAAGCGCUCGUAGGCGGUUCGUUAAGUCUGUUGUGAAAGCCCCGGGCUCAACCUGGGAAUGGCAAUGGAUACUGGCGAGCUAGAGUGUGUCAGAGGAUGGUGGAAUUCCCGGUGUAGCGGUGAAAUGCGUAGAGAUCGGGAGGAACAUCAGUGGCGAAGGCGGCCAUCUGGGACAACACUGACGCUGAGGCACGAAAGCGUGGGGAGCAAACAGGAUUAGAUACCCCAGUAGUCCCUGUCUCUUAUAU
RNAcentral lists this ribosomal RNA (301 nucleotides) under uncultured bacterium. RNAcentral describes it as "partial 16S ribosomal RNA". It matches the Rfam family "Bacterial small subunit ribosomal RNA", at positions 509 to 809 of the family's 1533-position model. The record is from RNAcentral.